This 437-nucleotide ribosomal RNA is filed under the name uncultured bacterium. Its description in RNAcentral is "partial 16S ribosomal RNA". It matches the Rfam family "Bacterial small subunit ribosomal RNA", at positions 29 to 507 of the family's 1533-position model. The record is from RNAcentral.
AGCGAACGCUGGCGGCAGGCUUAACACAUGCAAGUCGAGCGGGCAUCCUUGUGGUGUCAGCGGCAGACGGGUGAGUAACGCGUGGGAACGUGCCCUUCGGUUCGGAAUAACUCAGGGAAACUUGAGCUAAUACCGGAUACGUGCGAGAGCAGAAAGGUUUAUCUGCCGAAGGAUCGGCCCGCGUCUGAUUAGCUAGUUGGUGAGGUUAUGGCUCACCAAGGCGACGAUCAGUAGCUGGUCUGAGAGGAUGAUCAGCCACACUGGGACUGAGACACGGCCCAGACUCCUACGGGAGGCAGCAGUGGGGAAUAUUGGACAAUGGGGGCAACCCUGAUCCAGCCAUGCCACGUGAGUGAUGACGGCCUUAGGGUUGUAAAGCUCUUUUCUCCGGGACGAUAAUGACGGUACCGGAGGAAUAAGCCUCGGCUAACUUCGUG